This is a long non-coding RNA of Anopheles stephensi (Asian malaria mosquito), 2482 nucleotides long. RefSeq lists it as uncharacterized. The transcript is spliced from 2 exons. Lineage: Eukaryota; Metazoa; Arthropoda; Insecta; Diptera; Culicidae. The record is from RefSeq and is a predicted model, not a curated record.
UCCGUAGAAUGGUAUAGGUUGAUCUGCUGGUUCCAAUGUAGUGAAGCAGGAUACGAGCAAAGGCUGUUUUUGCGAGUGUUUGUUUCGGUGUAUGCAAUCAAUCAUUUUGGUUUCUUUUUGUUGCUUUGCCUGCACUACGUUGACCCUAAGAGCAAGGAGUAAACAACGGCAUAUUUUGUGCACGGGUUCGUCAUGUUUAUCGCAAGUCACCGGAUAGACAUCUUGCGCUACAGGAUUGACUCCAUCUUCAGAGCCAAAUGAUCGGUUACCGAUCCGAGACGAAUUAGACUGAGCACUCCAGGCGAUAAGCAAAUUAAUAUGUUGGCCUUUUUGUACAUUUUGAAACAAUAAAAAACAUCACUACAUCGUUUAAACAGAGAAAGUCAAAACUGAAAUCCUUGUAAAUAUGUUUUGUAACGCAAAAGUGUACAUCGAAUGUAACUGAUUUCACCGACUGUUUUAUGUCUAGCUGAAAAGGAUCAUUCAUGGGGUUUACAAUACGUUAAGAUAAUUGAGGUUUGUUGUAUUUAAGAUAUAUUAUAUAGAUAGAAUGAUGUUGGGAAACGGUGUGAUGGCUAUAUGUAACACAUAUCUUAAACAUUUCCUUGCAACAAUUCGCUGAGCUCCGAUGAGCUCCAGUUUAUGAAUUUAAAAUUCCAAAUUUAAAUUUGAAUCGAUCUAGAGGGAUUAUUAUUAUUAUAAGUUUAUUUGCCCAUCGUUACCGGGUAUAAUAUAAUUCAUAGUUAAGGAUCACACAUAGUUGAUUGGACGAGUGAAAAUUUCUUAAACGUGGGCAGAGACAUGGUGAAAUCGAUCAGUAGCAGAUAUGUUAAAACAACCAGUACAACUAUAGGGUUACAGAGCAUUCGGUGCGCGAGCAUGUAACUUGUAACAUUUGGUGAUGUUUGGCUAAUAAUCUAGAUGUAUUGAACCUAAGUACACGUAACAAAUAAGAAUCUAAGAGCAGCUGAUAGUUUUGAAGCAGCCUAAAAUGCCUAAAAGUAGUUGAAUGCCUGGUAUGAAUGUGGUCUGAUAGAGGAGAAUGAGGACUCGGAGACCCAAAGUCUGUACACAACAAUGAAAUAAAAAAAUGGUCUAGUGUAAAUAUUAUAAUAAUAAUUAUUAUUAUUAUUUAUUUCAACGGACCGCAUGAGGCCCUCUUGAAGCGGAAUAACGCCAUUGGUCUAAAAUUUCGAGACUCAUGCUUGCUUACGGAAAGCGUAACAUGUGAAGUUUCUUUGAACAUCCUCAAAUUCGUUGAUACGUUCUUGUAUAUGAGAGGAGCAGACAUAAGAGCAGUACUCGAGUGGCGAUCUGACUUGCUAACAAAAGAGUGCUUUCAAACACCGGGAGUCGCCAAAGCCACGAGUCAAUUAAAUUAUUAAUCCUUGAGUUAAAUAUGCGCAGUUAAUAACGUUGUAAAAGUGAAGUCCAAGCGCCAAUUGGUCAAGUAAAACACCUAGGUGGACAGUACGGCAUCGGUCCGUUACGAUUAACUAAUAAAUAAGAAAAACACCUAGGUGGCGCAUUUGUGUAUUUCUCGAAACGUGAAUGCCGUUUAUAUAUUUAAUAGUCAUUAAUUAUCACUGAUCUCGCACGCGCAAUGUACAAAACAAAACACAUUUUUGUACAAGAUAAGCAGCUUAAGACGCACCAGCUGUUGAACACCAAUACAACUUGCUGUAUUUUAGCACAAUCUUUGGUCGUUUUUAUGGAGUGCAUUGAGUAAGCCCUUACUAAGAGAUAUAACUAAUUUAUAUUUAAUUAUUUUAGAGAGGCUGCAAAUAGUUUGAUUAUAGUUCAAUUAAUGUCGAAUCAAGGAACAUAUCAGUUAACGUUUGCCUCCAUGUUAUGACCACCAUGAAAGGGUUUAACAAAAAUUGAAGCCCUGAAACCCUAGCGUUCAACUAAAAAGAUGAAAGCCUUGGAUCUCAAGAUAAGGGUGAGUUGAGGGAAGAAUAUUGGAUGGAUUGUAAGGAAGAGCUGUGAAAGACAGACACAGCAACCACUGAAGUUAAAAAGAUGGAAGAGGAGGUUGAAAUGGGGAUCUUCAAGUAUAGCUGGCAAAGGAGCAAGAUUAUAUAGUUACUAUUUGUGAUAGUAGAAGACGCCUAUUGCAGGCAAUAUAACACAAUUACAAGUCACAGGCAUAAACAUAUUUAAUGUCUUAUGUACGUAUCAGUGCAAUGUAAUGCUUCGCAACCGGGGCUGGACCGGGGUUGAAAUCCCAUCCAGAUCUCCUCGUACGGAUAGCUGACUAUCCAGCUACGGGUAAAAUCAAGUCACAGAAAGCCAGAAAUGGCAAGAGUAGACCUCUCGAGAAGAGGUCCUCCUCUCGAAGAAGAGAUAGAAAGUGUGUGUAUAUAGAAUGGUCAUGUUUCGUUCGGCUUUAGUCAGUUAUAUUUGCUAGAAUUUUUAAAUAAUGCUAUUCAAAUCUGAAAGAUUAUACAAGAUAAUAUAAACUAUCUACGAUACGAUUAAA